This 494-nucleotide ribosomal RNA is filed under the name Veillonella parvula. RNAcentral's name for it is "bacterial SSU rRNA". It matches the Rfam family "Bacterial small subunit ribosomal RNA", at positions 28 to 492 of the family's 1533-position model. Lineage: Bacteria; Bacillati; Bacillota; Negativicutes; Veillonellales; Veillonellaceae. The record is from RNAcentral.
GACGAACGCUGCGGCGUGCUUAACACAUGCAAGUCGAACGAAGAGCGAUGGAAGCUUGCUUCUAUCAAUCUUAGUGGCGAACGGGUGAGUAACGCGUAAUCAACCUGCCCUUCAGAGGGGGACAACAGUUGGAAACGACUGCUAAUACCGCAUACGAUCUAAUCUCGGCAUCGAGGAUAGAUGAAAGGUGGCCUCUACAUGUAAGCUAUCACUGAAGGAGGGGAUUGCGUCUGAUUAGCUAGUUGGAGGGGUAACGGCCCACCAAGGCGAUGAUCAGUAGCCGGUCUGAGAGGAUGAACGGCCACAUUGGGACUGAGACACGGCCCAGACUCCUACGGGAGGCAGCAGUGGGGAAUCUUCCGCAAUGGACGAAAGUCUGACGGAGCAACGCCGCGUGAGUGAUGACGGCCUUCGGGUUGUAAAGCUCUGUUAAUCGGGACGAAAGGCCUUCUUGCAAAUAGUGAGAAGGAUUGACGGUACCGGAAUAGAAAGCC